RNAcentral lists this unclassified non-coding RNA (20 nucleotides) under Mus musculus (house mouse). RNAcentral's name for it is "oocyte_clustered_small_RNA1433". Lineage: Eukaryota; Metazoa; Chordata; Mammalia; Rodentia; Muridae. The record is from RNAcentral.
AACUCUUGACUCAUCUACAC